Molecule: ribosomal RNA, 26 nt
Filed under: Cantharellus guyanensis
Lineage: Eukaryota; Fungi; Basidiomycota; Agaricomycetes; Cantharellales; Hydnaceae
Description: partial 18S ribosomal RNA
Source: RNAcentral
CGUAGGUGAACCUGCGGAAGGAUCAA